AUUUAGUUUCGACCUUUUGAUUGAAAUUGAACAUGUAUAUUUUGUUUUCAAAACAAAUUC
Molecule: transfer RNA, 60 nt
Filed under: Epiperipatus biolleyi
Lineage: Eukaryota; Metazoa; Onychophora; Udeonychophora; Euonychophora; Peripatidae
Description: tRNA-Met
Source: RNAcentral